GUUCUUUAUAUAAAAGUUCAAAAAAUUUGAAAAAAUAUAUAUCUUUGAUUAGUACUUUUGUAUAAUCUUUCAUUUUUUAUGGAAAAGUUUUUUAAGAAAAAAAAAACAAUGUGGAAGCACACAAUUCGACCAGUUCUACAACGUUCGAGGUCUUCCAACUUUUUCUUAAUACAGUAGUAGUACCAUAAUUUUUUUCACAAUGAUACUGAUUGUUUAUGUAUAAUUUGAAUCGCAUUUAAACAUUAAAAAAAAAAACAAAAAAACAAAACUGGAUUAUACUGUUGAUUUGGUUCCCCCCCCACUUCAAAUCAUUGGUGUUGUGGCUCUGAAC
RNAcentral lists this long non-coding RNA (331 nucleotides) under Capsella rubella. Its description in RNAcentral is "long non-coding RNA (CRUB_LNC001261)". Lineage: Eukaryota; Viridiplantae; Streptophyta; Magnoliopsida; Brassicales; Brassicaceae. The record is from RNAcentral.